GAUGAAGAACGCAGCGAAAUGCGAUAAGUAAUGUGAAUUGCAGAAUUCCGUGAAUCAUCGAAUCUUUGAACGCACAUUGCGCCCCCUGGUAUUCCGGGGGGCAUGCCUGUCCGAGCGUCAUUGCAACCCUCAAGCGCGGCUUGUGUGUUGGGCUUCGUCCCCCCGUGGACGUGCCCGAAAGGCAGUGGCGGCGUCCCGAAUGGUGCCCGAGCGUAUGGGAACUCUCUUCCGCUCGAACCGGCCCAUUCGGCGCUGGUCGAACCCCAAUUUUUUUUUACCGGUUGACCUCGGAUCAGGUAGGGAUACCCGCUGAACUUAAGCAUAUCAAUAAGCGGAGGA
RNAcentral lists this unclassified non-coding RNA (339 nucleotides) under soil metagenome. RNAcentral describes it as "partial contains 5.8S ribosomal RNA, internal transcribed spacer 2, and large subunit ribosomal RNA". The stretch from base 1 to 120 matches the Rfam family "5.8S ribosomal RNA", at positions 35 to 154 of the family's 154-position model. The record is from RNAcentral.